This is a long non-coding RNA of Melanotaenia boesemani (Boeseman's rainbowfish), 299 nucleotides long. RefSeq lists it as uncharacterized. Lineage: Eukaryota; Metazoa; Chordata; Actinopteri; Atheriniformes; Melanotaeniidae. The record is from RefSeq and is a predicted model, not a curated record. The transcript has 3 exons.
GAAGACGACGACGCUGUAUUUCUUGCUAAUGUGUUCUUGGAUGAAUGCAAGACUGCAGAAGUCUCGGAAACAGGCCCGGAGAAAUUUGUUUGGCUCGAAGAGGACGAGGAAGGUAAUCCUCUCUCAAAAAGGAGUAGAACGGGGGAGGAGCGCAAACGUGGUUCAUCCACAGAAGCACGGACCCAUCAUGUGCUCCAUCUUCUAGUGGACAACAGAGAAUGACUGGGACCAUUCAAGACAUAGGUAGAUUAGUAGCCAAUGUUCAUUAUUUUUAUUAUCAGCUACUUUGUACCUAUCCC